This 29-nucleotide small RNA is filed under the name Bombyx mori (domestic silkworm). RNAcentral's name for it is "ovarian small RNA-1716". The record is from RNAcentral. Lineage: Eukaryota; Metazoa; Arthropoda; Insecta; Lepidoptera; Bombycidae.
CCGCCGAAAGAGACGGCGCAGCCUGCCCU